This 576-nucleotide ribosomal RNA is filed under the name Disciphania killipii. Its description in RNAcentral is "eukaryotic LSU rRNA". The stretch from base 200 to 355 matches the Rfam family "5.8S ribosomal RNA". Lineage: Eukaryota; Viridiplantae; Streptophyta; Magnoliopsida; Ranunculales; Menispermaceae. The record is from RNAcentral.
CAUUGUUGAAACCGGAUAAAAAAUAGAGAGACCCGUGAACUGUUGAACGAUUCUCUUCAUAUGGCCAGUGCUGACGGGACGAUCAGCCCGUGGGCAUGUUGGUCGCAACUAAACUCAACGGCGCGGCAUGCGCCAAGGAAUCGAGAAAGGGAAACGCUCGUCUUAGACGACGGUGUUGGUUUUCCAUAAAUUUUUGAACGACUCUCGGCAACGGAUAUCUCGGCUCUUGCAUCGAUGAAGAACGUAGCGAAAUGCGAUACUUGGUGUGAAUUGCAGAAUCCCGUGAACCAUCGAGUUUUUGAACGCAAGUUGCGCCCAAGGCCACUCGGUCGAGGGCACGUCUGCCUGGGCGUCACACAGAUGCCACUCCCACCCCUUGCAGUGAGAGUGAAUGCUGGCCUCCCGCGGCUCUCUUUGCGGUUGGCUGAAAUGCUUAUUGUUGCUCCACUUGGCGACACGAUCGACGGUGGUUGGGGUUAAAGCUUUGAUCGUGAUUGGCGACGUGAUCGUCGAAAGUAGGAGCGGAAGGAAGGAACCCCCAAAAGUUUCUGACGAAACACAUGCUACGACCCCAGG